UUAUAUAUGGCAAACAAAAUAAUAGGUUUUGGGCUUGAAUCAAUUCGAAGGGGUGAGAAUCGGAAAGGACACUUGAAAGUGAUACGGAUUCGAAAGCAGCACAGGCACAAAAAAUGCUCGACUUGCAGGCAAAAUGCGCAACCUCUUGUGGCAAUACUAUAAGGAAGCUGAUCAACUCUUCGAUAUUGCUCGAGGCAUUGCAAAUUUUGGGGAUGGGUUUUCCAACUCAUGUGCCUUACCAUUGAUUUCGGUUUUCGAUAUCAAUGUAAAUAUACG
This is a long non-coding RNA of Nelumbo nucifera (sacred lotus), 276 nucleotides long. RefSeq lists it as uncharacterized. Lineage: Eukaryota; Viridiplantae; Streptophyta; Magnoliopsida; Proteales; Nelumbonaceae. The record is from RefSeq and is a predicted model, not a curated record.